UGCUUAGAUGCUUAAAAAGGAGAAACCAAAGAUAAGGACGGAAGCAAAGAUAACACCUUUGGUUGUGAAGCUCCAAGAAACUGAAACCCUCUCCCUUUCUAUUCUGCAAUCGGGUCGCUUCUGGUUUCUACUGCCAUGGCCUCUGCAACUUUCCCCUUUCGAGCUUCCUACUCUCCUCUGCCUUCUUGUCGCUUCAUCUUCUCCUCUUUGAACCUUGCUUCUUACCGUGGCUUAACGCGAGAAAGGCAGAAAGAAAGAGCUCUGUGUUGUUCUUCGACCGAGAAACAAAGGAGCUUUAACGGGGAG
RNAcentral lists this long non-coding RNA (306 nucleotides) under Carica papaya (papaya). Its description in RNAcentral is "long non-coding RNA (CPAP_LNC000314)". Lineage: Eukaryota; Viridiplantae; Streptophyta; Magnoliopsida; Brassicales; Caricaceae. The record is from RNAcentral.